GUAGUCCACGCUGUAAACGAUGUCGAUUUGGAGGUUGUGCCCUUGAGGCGUGGCUUCCGGAGCUAACGCGUUAAAUCGACCGCCUGGGGAGUACGGCCGCAAGGUUAAAACUCAAAUGAAUUGACGGGGGCCCGCACAAGCGGUGGAGCAUGUGGUUUAAUUCGAUGCAACGCGAAGAACCUUACCUACUCUUGACAUCCAGAGAACUUAGCAGAGAUGCUUUGGUGCCUUCGGGAACUCUGAGACAGGUGCUGCAUGGCUGUCGUCAGCUCGUGUUGUGAAAUGUUGGGUUAAGUCCCGCAACGAGCGCAACCCUUAUCCUUUGUUGCCAGCGGUUCGGCCGGGAACUCAAAGGAGACUGCCAGUGAUAAACUGGAGGAAGGUGGGGAUGACGUCAAGUCAUCAUGGCCCUUACGAGUAGGGCUACACACGUGCUACAAUGGCAUAUACAAAGAGAAGCGACCUCGCGAGAGCAAGCGGACCUCAUAAAGUAUGUCGUAGUCCGGAUUGGAGUCUGCAACUCGACUCCAUGAAGUCGGAAUCGCUAGUAAUCGUAGAUCAGAAUGCUACGGUGAAUACGUUCCCGGGCCUUGUACACACCGCCCGUCACACCAUGGGGAGUGGGUUGCAAAAGAAGUAGGUAGCUUAACCUUCGGGAGGGCGCUUACCACUUUGUGAUUC
This 681-nucleotide ribosomal RNA is filed under the name uncultured Serratia sp. RNAcentral's name for it is "bacterial SSU rRNA". It matches the Rfam family "Bacterial small subunit ribosomal RNA", at positions 790 to 1470 of the family's 1533-position model. The record is from RNAcentral. Lineage: Bacteria; Pseudomonadati; Pseudomonadota; Gammaproteobacteria; Enterobacterales; Yersiniaceae.